RNAcentral lists this long non-coding RNA (342 nucleotides) under Triticum aestivum (bread wheat). Its description in RNAcentral is "long non-coding RNA (TAES_LNC009290)". The record is from RNAcentral. Lineage: Eukaryota; Viridiplantae; Streptophyta; Magnoliopsida; Poales; Poaceae.
ACACCUCCAGCACCCAUCCAUCGCACAACACCUCCAGCACCCAUCCAUCCACCACGCAGCACUCCAUUCAUUCAUCACGCAAGCCUGCAGAGGAACUCCCUCACGCACCGGCUCGCACCUACCCGGCAGGAGGAAGAAUGCAGGCACCCGAGCCGGCGUACAUGGAGAGAGGAGGCCGGCGUACAGGGAGCUCGGCGGCUGUGACAUGGACGCGAAGCUCACCUUCCCCGAGGGUAAAACUUUGAUCUAACCCAUCCCUUUCCUUGUUCCUUCUUUGCAUAUAGCAUGCACGCACACAGGUCGGGAGCGUUGCCGAAAGUAAUGUUCGCAUGAUCGGACCCC